CGUUUAGGGGUAAACCUGAGAAACCCGAAAGGUCGAAGGGAGAAAUUCAUUCGCGUUUCGUUGCAGGCGUCGAGCGGUCGAGUGACGUAAAAAAUAAGCUUGCUUAUUUUUGCGCACCUUCCGUUCGUUCGAACCGGUGACGAACGCGUGCACUUUUCUCCUGGUAGGACGUCGCGAUCCGUUGAGUGUCGGUCUACGGCUCAUAGUGGAGCCCGUUUGUUAUAAUUUACGUUGUACGGACGGACCUAUGACGUUCCUGGCCGAUUCAAACACUAUCGACGGUAUACGAAUGGUUCGAGGCCGCUCUUUUCUUACGAGCGUCUAACCGAUAACAAGUGCGCUGAAUGUUUGUCGAUGAUCGGACCUAGUGCCGAUUACGACCUUCGGUGACUGUUGGUUGUCGAGUUCUUGGACAGACCUCGUUGUUAAUUUUUCGAAAUUAACAUAACCAAUCGGCGACGCUAUAGCUUUGGGUACUUUCAGGACCCGUCUUGAAACACGGACCAAGGAGUCUAGCAUGUGCGCAAGUCAUUGGGAUUUAAUCUAAACCUAAAGGCGCAAUGAAAGUAAAGAUCUUCCUUGUGAAGAUCGAGGGAGGAUAAAUGGUUUUGCCCUUAAAAGCUACCAUUUUGCACUCCCGGGGCGUCUCGUUCUCAUUGCGAGAAGAGGCGCACCAAGAGCGUACACGCUGGGACCCGAAAGAUGGUGAACUAUGCCUGGU
Molecule: ribosomal RNA, 721 nt
Filed under: Stenoclyptus sulcatus
Lineage: Eukaryota; Metazoa; Arthropoda; Insecta; Coleoptera; Curculionidae
Description: partial large subunit ribosomal RNA
Rfam family: Eukaryotic large subunit ribosomal RNA
Source: RNAcentral